RNAcentral lists this ribosomal RNA (492 nucleotides) under uncultured bacterium. Its description in RNAcentral is "partial 16S ribosomal RNA". It matches the Rfam family "Bacterial small subunit ribosomal RNA", at positions 29 to 507 of the family's 1533-position model. The record is from RNAcentral.
AGUGAACGCUGGCGGUAGGCCUAACACAUGCAAGUCGAACGGCAGCACAGUAAGAGCUUGCUCUUACGGGUGGCGAGUGGCGGACGGGUGAGGGAUACAUCGGAAUCUACUUUUUCGUGGGGGAUAACGUAGGGAAACUUACGCUAAUACCGCAUACGACCUACGGGUGAAAGCAGGGGAUCUUCGGACCUUGCGCGAUUGAAUGAGCCGAUAUCGGAUUAGCUAGUUGGCGGGGUAAAGGCCCACCAAGGCGACGAUCCGUAGCUGGUCUGAGAGGAUGAUCAGCCACACUGGAACUGAGACACGGUCCAGACUCCUACGGGAGGCAGCAGUGGGGAAUAUUGGACAAAGGGCGCAAGCCUGAUCCAGCCAUACCGCGUGGGUGAAGAAGGCCUUCGGGUUGUAAAGCCCUUUUGUUGGGAAAGAAAAGCAGCAGGUUAAUACCCCGCUGUUCUGACGGUACCCAAAGAAUAAGCACCGGCUAACUUCGUG